AAAGUACUCCCUCCGAUCCAUAUUAAUUGUCGAAAUAUUACAUGUAUCUAGACAAUUUUUAGGCAUAGAUACAUCCAUUUUUGGCCAAAUUUGAGACAAUUAAUAUGGAUCGGAGGGAGUACUAA
This is a non-coding RNA of Brachypodium distachyon (stiff brome), 125 nucleotides long. The record is from Rfam. Lineage: Eukaryota; Viridiplantae; Streptophyta; Magnoliopsida; Poales; Poaceae.